AGAGUUUGAUCAUGGCUCAGGAUGAACGCUGGCGGCGUGCCUAACACAUGCAAGUCGAGCGAGAAGCUUCGGAAGGAUUCUUCGGAUGACGGAAGGAGUGGAAAGCGGCGGACGGGUGAGUAACGCGUAGGCAACCUGCCCCUUGCAGAGGGAUAGCCAUUGGAAACGAUGAUUAAGACCUCAUAACGCCGGGCCUGCACAUGCAGGGUUGGCCAAAGAUUUAUCGGCAAGGGAUGGGCCUGCGUCUGAUUAGCUGGUUGGCGGGGUAACGGCCCACCAAGGCGACGAUCAGUAGCCGACCUGAGAGGGUGAACGGCCACAUUGGAACUGAGACACGGUCCAAACUCCUACGGGAGGCAGCAGUGGGGAAUAUUGCACAAUGGGCGAAAGCCUGAUGCAGCAACGCCGCGUGAAGGAAGAAGGCCUUCGGGUCGUAAACUUCUGUCCUUGGGGAAGAAGGAAUGACGGUACCCAGGGAGGAAGCCCCGGCUAACUACGUGCCAGCAGCCGCGGUAAUACGUAGGGGGCGAGCGUUAUCCGGAAUUAUUGGGCGUAAAGAGUGCGUAGGUGGCUUUUUAAGCGCAGGGUAUAAGGCAAUGGCCCAACCAUUGUUCGCCCUGCGAACUGAGGAGCUUGAGUGCAGGAGAGGGAAGCGGAAUUCCUAGUGUAGCGGUGAAAUGCGUAGAUAUUAGGAGGAACACCAGUGGCGAAGGCGGCUUUCUGGACUGUAACUGACACUGAGGCACGAAAGUGUGGGGAGCAAACAGGAUUAGAUACCCUGGUAGUCCACACCGUAAACG
Molecule: ribosomal RNA, 800 nt
Filed under: uncultured bacterium
Lineage: Bacteria
Description: bacterial SSU rRNA
Rfam family: Bacterial small subunit ribosomal RNA
Source: RNAcentral